Molecule: ribosomal RNA, 472 nt
Filed under: uncultured organism
Description: partial 16S ribosomal RNA
Rfam family: Bacterial small subunit ribosomal RNA
Source: RNAcentral
CACUCCUGCGGGAGGCAGCAGUGGGGAAUAUUGGACAAUGGGCGCAAGCCUGAUCCAGCAAUGCCGCGUGAGUGAAGAAGGCCUUCGGGUUGUAAAGCUCUUUUGUCAGGGAAGAAACGGUGAAAGCUAAUAUCUUUUGCUAAUGACGGUACCUGAAGAAUAAGCACCGGCUAACUACGUGCCAGCAGCCGCGGUAAUACGUAGGGUGCAAGCGUUAAUCGGAAUUACUGGGCGUAAAGCGUGCGCAGGCGGUUUUGUAAGUCUGAUGUGAAAUCCCCGGGCUCAACCUGGGAAUUGCAUUGGAGACUGCAAGGCUAGAAUCUGGCAGAGGGGGGUAGAAUUCCACGUGUAGCAGUGAAAUGCGUAGAUAUGUGGAGGAACACCGAUGGCGAAGGCAGCCCCCUGGGUCAAGAUUGACGCUCAUGCACGAAAGCGUGGGGAGCAAACAGGAUUAGAAACCCGUGUAGUCCCA